GCUAUUGUUUUCAGGGCCCUAGAGGACCUCCAGGUGAACAAGGAAGCAAGGGAGACCGUGGGCAGCCUGGUUUGGCAGGACCAUCUGGAGAGAAGGGAGAUCGCGGACCACCUGGACCCGAGGGAGAAAAGGUAUGUUCAUUUAGUGCUUGUGCUGCUAUUCCUAAGAGGUGACUGGAUUGUUCGCAAAAUAGGCAGUUUAUGCUAUCCUUUUUCAAUUAAAAUUUAUUUACUUGUGUUAUCAGCUGUCUGUGCUCCACAUUUUUCUUAUUAUCCUCCCAACUUUUCACACUACUGGAAGUAAAAAAAUGCCCCUUAUAGAUUGGCACAUCA
RNAcentral lists this long non-coding RNA (332 nucleotides) under Pogona vitticeps (central bearded dragon). Its description in RNAcentral is "lncRNA (ENSPVIG00000019055.1)". The record is from RNAcentral. Lineage: Eukaryota; Metazoa; Chordata; Lepidosauria; Squamata; Agamidae.